GGAGAGAUGGCAGAGUGGUCGAAUGCGGUCGCCUUGAAAGCGAUUGAGGUGCAAGCCUCCGGGGGUUCGAAUCCCUCUCUCUCCGCCA
This 88-nucleotide transfer RNA is filed under the name candidate division SR1 bacterium Aalborg_AAW-1. RNAcentral's name for it is "tRNA-Ser". It matches the Rfam family "tRNA". Rfam says of the family: Transfer RNA (tRNA) molecules are approximately 80 nucleotides in length. Their secondary structure includes four short double-helical elements and three loops (D, anti-codon, and T loops). Further hydrogen bonds mediate the characteristic L-shaped molecular structure. tRNAs have two regions of fundamental functional importance: the anti-codon, which is responsible for specific mRNA codon recognition, and the 3' end, to which the tRNAs corresponding amino acid is attached (by aminoacyl-tRNA synthetases). tRNAs cope with the degeneracy of the genetic code in two manners: having more than one tRNA (with a specific anti-codon) for a particular amino acid; and 'wobble' base-pairing, i.e. permitting non-standard base-pairing at the 3rd anti-codon position. Lineage: Bacteria; Candidatus Absconditibacteriota. The record is from RNAcentral.